AUCAUUUUAGUUUAUUAAAACACCAUAUUUUCAUUAUGGAGAUAAAUUUUUAUAAUUUAGAAGAUA
This 66-nucleotide transfer RNA is filed under the name Cyphoderus albinus. Its description in RNAcentral is "tRNA-Glu". Lineage: Eukaryota; Metazoa; Arthropoda; Collembola; Entomobryomorpha; Paronellidae. The record is from RNAcentral.